This is a long non-coding RNA of Carassius carassius (crucian carp), 1279 nucleotides long. RefSeq lists it as uncharacterized. Lineage: Eukaryota; Metazoa; Chordata; Actinopteri; Cypriniformes; Cyprinidae. The transcript has 4 exons. The record is from RefSeq and is a predicted model, not a curated record.
AGUCUUUUUUUCACCUGCGAUGGCUGAACAUCAGAAGCACUCAACCAUGUGUUCAUAAACGCAGUAUAUUUCUGUGAUGGCUCCUUCAACAUUCCCUGUCAACAGUCUGAACCUGCUCUAGAAUGCAUUACAUGACAGAAGCUAAUAUGUGACACCUGAAAGAGGUGGUGUGGGAACAUAAAAUCAUACAGGCUGGUUUGAUCUACAUCAAAGUCUCUCUACAUCCUUCUGGGGACUCAAGAAGGCGGCUGAGUACAAAGACUUCAAAAGAACCAGGUCUUUUGAACUGUUCUGAUGCCCAAUGAUUAAAACUACCCCUGGCCUGAGUGACAUCUGUGCAAAUCCCAGCCAUUGAAAUCAACUGGGCAUCAUUCUUAUCACACUGUUCCCAGAUGUGCUGGAGCAACAUUUGUCAUUUCAUCUGCAUCAAUCUCUAAAGUGUGUCAAUGUUUAGCGGAACAGCUUUUGUUGGAAUGAAAAACAUCGGAGGGCAGGCAAACUUUUUGAGGUAUUUCAAGUCAAAGGCUAUAGUAUCAAAGCUUUUUGGUUCAGUGCAAUUACGUUUGAAUAUUGCUUAUGAGUGUACACAGGAAAUCUUCUGAAUUCCCUGAAUCCACAUUUGACCUCGUUUAAUUUGUAGUCAUUAAGUAUCCUGAAUACAUCCAUAAAGCUGUAAUAAAAAGUUAUUCUUAUUAAAAAACAAAAGGGUAAUUGUAUACACUUUUUUUACUCUUCUGUCUCUCUAUGUGGCAUCUUCCCUGUGUGACAACAAGCCCCAGUCUCCCCUAAUGCUUUAUCAUUUAUAACAGAAAUAGAAAGAAGUCUUAUUUCCUCACUGUGAAUUAAGUUAUCUUUCCCACACUUUUUGCAAGGCAGCAAAGGAAGGCUCACCCUCCUACUGACAGUUAUUCCCUAAAGAGAGAACAACAGCUGACAGUUAAUGACCCAGUUAUGCAAAUUCAGUCCUAUAGCAGUUUGUUUGCUGCUAGUUUCAAGCAUCCAUUAAAAUAAAGAAUGCCUAGCAGAGGAACCGUUACCUUCACUGUGAGCUCUCAGAGCUGAAGGCACACUGUAAAUUCAUGCUUGCCCAGGAGAAUCCAUUUAAUGAGCAUAGAAAAUGUACAAGAUAUGACAAUAUCAACCCCAUUUUCCAUUAUCGAGCUUAAUUUUAGAUUCAGCUUUUGUUUCAGUUCACUUGUUACAGAGAGUUCUUGUCAGAUUUUAUUUACAUAGCAAUGACAAUCUUAGCAUGAGCCAGUGAGCAUGCAUCUUAACCCUG